CGUUGACACAAUAACACUCCAAAGCGGGCCAUGAGAUAAAUUGGAUAUCCGUUAAUGGCAUAAAAAUGUAAAACAAUACCGAAACGCACGUGUUUCGAGUGCCACUCGACGCCGUCGAGUUUGUCCAAAUGUUUGUAAAUCUUUAUUUAUUCAAGCGAAACUGAUGUCCUCAUAGUUUAUGUUUGGCUGGCUUGUAAUGUGACUGUGGGGAAUUGUAUUGAACUGUUGCGCAUCCUUGCCAAGCCAAACUAGAUACGUGAAAUAAUGUGACAUUUAAAACAUGAACUGCUGCAGUGCUGCUAAGGUUAAGAUGGUGUGGCAACGUGUAGGAACUGUGAAGCGGGAGUUGGCGUGUUCAAUUCCCCAAACUGGAUCCCCAUGGAGCAUUGUUUACGGCAGACAAGCGACCGGAAAAAAUCAGUCAAGCUCUUACAGCAAUAUUUUCGAAAAAGUGCUGCAGUCAUUCCACAUUUGAGACAAAGGUAAAUGGAAUUAGUAUUCAAUCAUCGAUAUAUAUGUACAACGUACUAGAUUUGGCCUUCCGAACAUUCACUGUAAU
Long non-coding RNA from Manduca sexta (tobacco hornworm), 559 nucleotides. RefSeq lists it as uncharacterized. The record is from RefSeq and is a predicted model, not a curated record. The transcript has 3 exons. Lineage: Eukaryota; Metazoa; Arthropoda; Insecta; Lepidoptera; Sphingidae.